Molecule: long non-coding RNA, 882 nt
Organism: Corticium candelabrum
Lineage: Eukaryota; Metazoa; Porifera; Homoscleromorpha; Homosclerophorida; Plakinidae
Exons: 3
Source: RefSeq, a predicted model, not a curated record
UAGAGCGGUGUCUGCACCUGUACACCGGUUCUGUGGCUUUUGGUAUCGUUGAUGUUGUUUUUCGCCGAUCAAGAGUUUGACAUGCAGUACGUACCAUACAAGUAGCCCUGCGUAUCCAGACCGCUUCUCUCUCGCUACUUGCGGUUUCGACGAAUGCUACAGCACAGGUUAAUCGGAUCCUCAGCCAGUAUAGUCUAAAAAGGACUCGACUAUAACUUACUGUAAGGUUGUGGGCAUGCCGUGCUACCGACGUUGGCUGUGCUCGAGGAGAUGGAGAACAACAAACAGGUGGCCAUCAUCAUCGACACUCUGGUACUGAAUGGCAACUGACGGUUGUAAGACGGGUGACCUCCUAAUGUUCAGCUCUGAAUGACGUCACUGUGUUGAAUGAGUUCUUAUAUGGUGAACAUAGCCUCGACUGUUUAAAUUCAUUUAGCUCUGUACGUCAUUAGUUUUAGUAAAUGUCUCCAAAUAUGGCUCUCAAAGCGCAUGUUUUGAACGCAGUGUGCUUAUACAAGCACGGAGACGGAAGAAAGGAGGAGGAGGAGCUGUUCAAUGCGUAGGCUUGAUCCACACGGGCACUAAACCAGAGACGGAUGGGUAUCUAACCAUUGGAUUCCUUUUGGAUGGUUUUGUGUUUGAUCUGAUCAGGACAGCGAGCGACUGCACCAUUAUUUGAUACAAUUACCAGCCUUGUUGUUGCCAGGCUAGCAAACUGAAAGCGGCGAAGGAUAAAAUCUGUAGGUAGGUGUAAUGUUUGGGUAUUGUUUACACACUUUGUUGAUAUAUCUACGGUAUCGUAGCUAUACAAUGUUGGUAUUGUUCCCGCUACCUUCUACGGUUCGGUUGUAAGCCAUGGUUGCUGUCGGUCUGUCUGUCUAG